UGGGCAGCUGGUGAUCGUUGGUCCCGGC
Molecule: non-coding RNA, 28 nt
Filed under: Cricetulus griseus (Chinese hamster)
Lineage: Eukaryota; Metazoa; Chordata; Mammalia; Rodentia; Cricetidae
Also listed under: 1 other name
Source: RNAcentral